This 423-nucleotide ribosomal RNA is filed under the name Atelopus hoogmoedi group sp. ABGD cluster 1. RNAcentral's name for it is "partial large subunit ribosomal RNA". It matches the Rfam family "Bacterial large subunit ribosomal RNA", at positions 1832 to 2457 of the family's 2925-position model. The record is from RNAcentral. Lineage: Eukaryota; Metazoa; Chordata; Amphibia; Anura; Bufonidae.
CUUGAGUUAUAAAUAUAAGAGGUCCAGCCUGCCCAGUGAUUAAAUUUAACGGCCGCGGUAUCCUAACCGUGCGAAGGUAGCGUAAUCACUUGUUCUUUAAAUGAGGACUAGUAUGAAUGGCACCACGAAGGUUUUACUGUCUCCUUUUCCUAAUCAGUGAAACUAAUCUUCCCGUGAAGAAGCGGGAAUAAGCGAAUAAGACGAGAAGACCCUAUGGAGCUUUAAACACAAUAACAAAUACUACUUUAAACAAAAAUUUCUUAAUGACUUACUCCCUAGUAUUAUGAUUAUUAGUUUUAGGUUGGGGUGACCGCGGAGAAAAACACAACCUCCACAUUGAAUGAUAAAAUUCUAAGCAAAGAAUCACAUUUCCACGCAUCAAUACAUUGACAUCAAUUGACCCAAUUAUUUUGAUCAACGAAC